GGGUGUUUUUAGGGGCUGAGGCUCCCCAGAGCAGUUUGAGGAGGUUUGUAGGGGCUGAGGCUCCCCGAGGCAGUUUGGGGAGGUUUUUAGGGGCUCCCAGAUGUUGGUUGGGGCACCUGAGGCUCCUCGGUGUCUUUUUUAGGGGUUUUUUAGGGGCUGAAUCUCCCUAGAGCAGUUUGGGGGGUGUUUUCAGGGUCUGAGUCUCCUCAGUGCAGUUUGGGGGGUGUUUUUAGGGGCUCCCUGAUGCAGUUUGGGGUUUGUUUAGGGGCUGAGUCUCCCUGAUGUAAUUUGGGCAGGUUUUCAGGGGCUGAGGCUCCUCAAUGUCUUCUCAGGAGGUUUUUAGGGUCUGAGUCUCCCCAGAGCAGUGUGGGGACGUUUUCAGGGGCUCCCUGGAGCAGUUUGGGGAGGUUUGUAGGGUCUGAGUCUCCCCAGUGCAGUUUGGGGAGGUUCUCAGGGGCUCCCCAGUGCAGUUUGGGGGUUGUUUAGGGGCCAAAUCUCCCCGGAGCACUUUGGGGAGGUUUUCAGGGGCUCCCCAGUACAAUUUUGGGAGGUUUUCAGGGGCUCCCUGCUGCACUUUGGGGAGGUUUGUAGGGUCUGAGUCUCCCCAGAGCAGUGUGGGGAGGUUUUCAGGGGCUCCCCGGAGCAGUUUGAGGAGGUUUGUAGGGUCUGAGUCUCCCCAGAGCAGUGUGGGGAGGUUCUCAGGGGCUCCCUGCUGCACUUUAGGGAGGUGUUCAGGGGCUCCCUGAUGCACUUUGAGGAGGUUUGUAGGGUCUGAGUCUCCCCAGAGUAGUGUGGGGAGGUUCUCAGUGGCUCCCCGCUGCACUUUGGGGAGGGUUUUAGGGUCUGAGUCUCCCCACUGCAGUUUGGGGAGGUUCUCAGGGUCUCCCCACUGCAGUCUGGGGAGGUUUGUAGGGUCUGAGUCUCCCUGGAGCAGUUUGGGGAGGUUCUCAGGGGCUCCCCAGUACAAUUUGGGGAGGUUCUCAGGGGCUCCCCAGUACAAUUUGGGGAGGUUCUCAGGGCUCCCCAGAGCAGUGUGAGGAGGUUCUCAGGGUCUCCCCAGUACAAUUUGGGGAGGU
Molecule: long non-coding RNA, 1076 nt
Organism: Pseudopipra pipra
Lineage: Eukaryota; Metazoa; Chordata; Aves; Passeriformes; Pipridae
Exons: 4
Source: RefSeq, a predicted model, not a curated record